GUGGGGAAUAUUGCACAAUGGGCGCAAGCCUGAUGCAGCCAUGCCGCGUGUAUGAAGAAGGCCUUCGGGUUGUAAAGUACUUUCAGUCGGGAGGAAGGUGGUAAGGUUAAUAACCUUAUCAAUUGACGUUACCGACAGAAGAAGCACCGGCUAACUCCGUGCCAGCAGCCGCGGUAAUACGGAGGGUGCAAGCGUUAAUCGGAAUUACUGGGCGUAAAGCGCACGCAGGCGGUUGAUUGAGUCAGAUGUGAAAUCCCCGGGCUUAACCCGGGAAUUGCAUCUGAUACUGGUCAGCUAGAGUCUUGUAGAGGGGGGUAGAAUUCCAUGUGUAGCGGUGAAAUGCGUAGAGAUGUGGAGGAAUACCGGUGGCGAAGGCGGCCCCCUGGACAAAGACUGACGCUCAGGUGCGAAAGCGUGGGGAGCAAACAGGA
Molecule: ribosomal RNA, 431 nt
Filed under: uncultured bacterium
Lineage: Bacteria
Description: bacterial SSU rRNA
Rfam family: Bacterial small subunit ribosomal RNA
Source: RNAcentral